Molecule: non-coding RNA, 85 nt
Organism: Felis catus (domestic cat)
Lineage: Eukaryota; Metazoa; Chordata; Mammalia; Carnivora; Felidae
Source: Rfam
GCCUGGGUGGCUCAGUCGGUUAAGCAUCUGACUUCGGCUCAGGUCACGAUCUCACAGCUCGUGGGUUCCAGCCCCGCGUUGGGCU